RNAcentral lists this ribosomal RNA (497 nucleotides) under uncultured bacterium. RNAcentral's name for it is "partial 16S ribosomal RNA". It matches the Rfam family "Bacterial small subunit ribosomal RNA", at positions 28 to 507 of the family's 1533-position model. The record is from RNAcentral.
GAUGAACGCUGGCGGCGUGCCUAAUACAUGCAAGUCGAGCGAACAGACGAGGAGCUUGCUCCUCUGACGUUAGCGGCGGACGGGUGAGUAACACGUGGAUAACCUACCUAUAAGACUGGGAUAACUUCGGGAAACCGGAGCUAAUACCGGAUAAUAUAUUGAACCGCAUGGUUCAAUAGUGAAAGACGGUUUUGCUGUCACUUAUAGAUGGAUCCGCGCCGCAUUAGCUAGUUGGUAAGGUAACGGCUUACCAAGGCAACGAUGCGUAGCCGACCUGAGAGGGUGAUCGGCCACCCUGGAACUGAGCCACGGUCCAGACUCCUACGGGAGGGCGCAGUAGGGAAUCUUACGCAAUGGGCGAAAGCCUGACGGAGCAACGCCGCGUGAGUGAUGAAGGUCUUCGGAUCGUAAAAAUCUGUUAUUAGGGAAGAACAAAUGUGUAAGUAACUAUGCACGUCUUGACGGUACCUAAUCAGAAAGCCACGGCUAACUACGUG